Molecule: ribosomal RNA, 232 nt
Filed under: uncultured bacterium
Lineage: Bacteria
Description: partial 16S ribosomal RNA
Rfam family: Bacterial small subunit ribosomal RNA
Source: RNAcentral
GCAAGUCGUACGAGAAUUUGGUGCUUGCCCCAAAGGACAGUGGCGCACGGGUGAGUAACGCGUGGGAUUUUACCAUGGAGUGGGGGACAACAGUUGGAAACGACUGCUAAUACCGCAUACGCCCUUCGGGGGAAAGAUUUAUUGCUCUAUGAUGAGCCCGCGUUAGAUUAGGUAGUUGGUGAGGUAAUGGCUCACCAAGCCGACGAUCUAUAGCUGGUCUGAGAGGACGAUC